CAAGGAAUUUUCCGCAAUGGGCGCAAGCCUGACGGAGCAACGCCGCGUGCGGGAGGGCGCCCUUCGGGGUGUAAACCGCUUUUCUUGGGGACGACGACCGACGGUACCCGAGGAAGAAGGACCGGCUAACUACGUGCCAGCAGCCGCGGUAAUACGUAGGGUCCGAGCGUUGUCCGGAGUUACUGGGCGUAAAGCGCGCGCAGGCGGCCCGUCGAGUCUGGCGUGAAAGCCCCCGGCUCAACCGGGGAGGGUCGUCGGAGACUGGCGGGCUUGAGGGCGGCAGGGGCCGGUGGAAUUCCCGGUGUAGUGGUGAAAUGCGUAGAGAUCGGGAGGAACACCCGUGGCGAAGGCGGCCGGCUGGGCCGACCCUGACGCUGAGGCGCGAAGGCGUGGGGAGCGAACGGGAUUAGAUACCCCCGUAGUCC
This 425-nucleotide ribosomal RNA is filed under the name uncultured bacterium. RNAcentral describes it as "bacterial SSU rRNA". It matches the Rfam family "Bacterial small subunit ribosomal RNA", at positions 355 to 796 of the family's 1533-position model. The record is from RNAcentral.